UAAGACUCCCGGCAAUGGAUAUCUUGGCUCUUGCAUCGAUGAAGAGCGCAGCGAAAUGCGAUACGUGGUGCGAAUUGCAGAAUCCCGUGAACCAUCGAGUUUUUGAACGCAAGUUGCGCCUGAGGCCAACUAGCCGAGGGCACGUCCGCCUGGGCGUCAUGC
This 162-nucleotide ribosomal RNA is filed under the name Diuris laxiflora. RNAcentral's name for it is "5.8S ribosomal RNA". It matches the Rfam family "5.8S ribosomal RNA". Rfam says of the family: 5.8S ribosomal RNA (5.8S rRNA) is a component of the large subunit of the eukaryotic ribosome. It is transcribed by RNA polymerase I as part of the 45S precursor that also contains 18S and 28S rRNA. Functionally, it is thought that 5.8S rRNA may be involved in ribosome translocation. Lineage: Eukaryota; Viridiplantae; Streptophyta; Magnoliopsida; Asparagales; Orchidaceae. RNAcentral also lists the same sequence under 7 other names. The record is from RNAcentral.